UGAUAAUUUUAAUGGCCGCAGUAUUUUGACUGUGCAAAGGUAGCAUAAUCAUUAGUUUCUUAAUUAGAAACUAGAAUGAAAGGUUGAACGAAAAAGUAACUGUCUCUUUAUAAUUUUUUUAGAAUUUUAUUUUUAAGUUAAAAAGCUUAAAUAAGUUUGAAAGACGAGAAGACCCUAUAGAGUUUAAUAUUUUAUUAAUUAAAUUUUAAAAUAGAAUUAUUAUUAUUUGAUUAAAAAAAGUAUUUGAUUGGGGUGAUUGAAAAAUUUAGUUAACUUUUUUUUUAUUAAGACAUAUAUAAAUGAUUAAUUGAUCCAUUAUUAAUGAUUAUAAGAUUAAAUUACCUUAGGGAUAACAGCGUAAUUUUUUUUAAGAGUUCUUAUCGAUAAAAAAGUUUGCGACCUCGAUGUUGGAUUAAAAUAAAUUUUUGGUGUAGAAGCUAAAAAAUUAGGUCUGUUCGACCUUUAAAAUUUU
This 472-nucleotide ribosomal RNA is filed under the name Aleochara segregata. RNAcentral describes it as "partial 16S ribosomal RNA". The stretch from base 349 to 472 matches the Rfam family "Bacterial large subunit ribosomal RNA", at positions 2473 to 2597 of the family's 2925-position model. Lineage: Eukaryota; Metazoa; Arthropoda; Insecta; Coleoptera; Staphylinidae. The record is from RNAcentral.